CUAAAACCUUGUUGCAGGAGGUCAUCUAGAGGACAUGAAAGCAGGUUCACCUGUGAGCUGGAUCGACCAAUCUUGGGACCCUGGCUACUGGACGCUCCUUACCUGCCUCCCGCGUCCUGGGAAUGUAAGCUCCUCCCACCAUUCCCACAGGGGAGCCUCUUCAAGGAGCAGCCUUGAGAGAGCACGUGUUAUUGAGACCAUCUGGACUACAUUCGUGACUGAACCCCGUCUAGACCUCUAUGUAAACUAUAAGAUUCUGGCGUGCAAUGCGGAGAUCCACUCAUCUUGCGGUUGUUGAAGACAGGCUUGGAGGCAUUGAAACAGAAAUGGAACCAAAUCCUGUCCUUGAGUAUCUUCCAAGAUAUAUUUUAUUUUUUCCUUUUUCUCCCCAAAGCCCCCCGGUACAUAGUUGUAUAUUCUUCGUUGUGGAUUCUUCUAGCUGUGGUAUGCGGGACACUGCCUCAGCGUGGUUUGAUGAGCAGUGCCAUGUCCGCACCCAGGAUUCGAACCAACGAAACACUGGGCCGCCUGCAGCGGAGCGCGCGAACUUAACCACUCGGCCACGGGGCCAGCCCCUGCCAUGACCUUUUUUACGAAAGGAGUUUUCUCUGUAAAUGUGGAUCCAUUUCUGUACACUCAGUUC
RNAcentral lists this long non-coding RNA (643 nucleotides) under Equus caballus (horse). Its description in RNAcentral is "lncRNA (ENSECAG00000044570.1)". Lineage: Eukaryota; Metazoa; Chordata; Mammalia; Perissodactyla; Equidae. The record is from RNAcentral.